CAGCAUUUUGGUCCAAAGCAUUCUUGUUCUGGCAUCAGCUACCAUCAUAUCCAUGGUUUUAGUUUUGAUUCUAUGCAAAGUUCACAACAGUCAGCAUGAAGGUUCUGUUACCGAUCACACAGUAAACCAGGCUGCAAGUGAGAAAGCUUUACAAUAUGCAGACGGUGGAUUCACUGAAAAACCAACGCAGAUGAAAAAAGACCCUGAAAUUUACUCCCAUGUCAUUUAUUACUAACAAAACUCACUAAUAAAUUAAUAAAAAACUAAACAGAACUGAUUAAAAUUGUGUGUGAUAUCCAGUGGUAGGAAAUGAAGAACAUUAUUGAUCUGGGUCUGUAGUUGCAAUGACCAAUAAUCAAUUUAUGCUUAUAUAGUAAUCAAAUGAUACUAAUAAUGAGAUUAGGACACUUUUUAAAAUUUGUGAGAUUUAAAGGAAAUUAUGUGCUAUGAUUACAUUUUUUAUCCAUCACCUUUUUCCUAUGUAUCUGUGAACAGGCUGUUUAGCUUUUGUUUUUUGUUUAAUUUUUCUAUCUGCACUCUUUGUAUUUAGUAAUGCUAAAAUGUUUUUCUUCCCAUUUGUA
This is a long non-coding RNA of Astyanax mexicanus (Mexican tetra), 581 nucleotides long. RefSeq lists it as uncharacterized. The transcript is spliced from 3 exons. The record is from RefSeq and is a predicted model, not a curated record. NCBI's taxonomy places the organism in Eukaryota, Metazoa, Chordata, Actinopteri, Characiformes, Acestrorhamphidae.